GACGAACGCUGGCGGCGUGCUUAACACAUGCAAGUCGUACGGUAAGGCCCUUUCGGGGGUACACGAGUGGCGAACGGGUGAGUAACACGUGAGUAACCUGCCCACAACUUUGGGAUAACGCUAGGAAACUGGUGCUAAUACUGGAUAUGUGCUCCUGCUGCAUGGUGGGGGUUGGAAAGCUCCGGCGGUUGUGGAUGGACUCGCGGCCUAUCAGCUUGUUGGUGGGGUAGUGGCCUACCAAGGCGGCGACGGGUAGCCGGCCUGAGAGGGUGACCGGCCACAUUGGGACUGAGAGACGGCCCAGACUCCUACGGGAGGCAGAAGUGGGGAAUAUUGCACAAUGGGCGCAAGCCUGAUGCAGCAACGCCGCGUGCGGAAUGACGGCCUUCGGGUUGUAAACCGCUUUCAGCAGGGACGAAGCUUUUUGUGACGGUACCUGCAGAAGAAGCACCGGCUAACUACGUG
RNAcentral lists this ribosomal RNA (465 nucleotides) under uncultured bacterium. RNAcentral describes it as "partial 16S ribosomal RNA". It matches the Rfam family "Bacterial small subunit ribosomal RNA", at positions 28 to 507 of the family's 1533-position model. The record is from RNAcentral.